Molecule: long non-coding RNA, 1440 nt
Filed under: Capsella grandiflora
Lineage: Eukaryota; Viridiplantae; Streptophyta; Magnoliopsida; Brassicales; Brassicaceae
Description: long non-coding RNA (CGRA_LNC001573)
Source: RNAcentral
UAUGGAAACGUGCAGUGGUUUUAGGUAGCUGCAGGGAAGAGCUACAAAAGAGAGACUAGAGAGAGAGAGAGAGAGAGAGAGAGGGGAGAAAAGCUGUGGAAGUGGGAAGGAGAGUGAAAAGAAGUGAGACUGAUUUAUGAGACAAGGCGAGUUGGUUUUUACGUUUGUCUUUUACUUGCGCCUAUACGACUAUUAUAUAUUUAUUUUUUAUUUCUUUCAUUGAUAUUAAAUGUGAAAUUUCUUUCUUUUUUUCUUUUUUUAUUUAUUAAAUAAAAUGUGUGAUAUCUUUUUGCUGUUUCCCGCUUUACUCACUUUUACUCAUUGGAGUAGAGAUCGAGAAACCAAAGUGCAGUAAAAUCUGUCGGCUAAUUUAACUAAAUUCUACUCCUUUUUGUGGCAAUUGUCAACAAUAAUAUAUAUUUUUUUUAAUGUUUUAAUAACCACAAUACAUGGCUAUAUACGAUGCAUUGACCACAUCCCCUUUUCUAAUUACUAUCUGAUGAGAAACUUCAUAAGAUCCAUGAUCAUAAACAGUAACACACAUUGCUCCAUUCCAGAUCUUAAGCGUUUAAGACUGAACCCCUUGAGAAAUGAUGCUUUAUCGACACACAACAAAGAAGGGUUUGGAGUAAUAAUUCAAUAGAUUUGAAAGAGAAUUUGCGAUCUUAAUAAUAUGAAAAGUUUCCAACUUCUAAUAACCAUCACAAAAAAAAUUAACCAGCACGCUAGAAUUUGCAAAGGCCAACAAUAACACAAAAGAAGAUAUAAAAGAAGGAAAUAAAUUCGUCACCAUAUUCUAGGAAACACCAUCAUAUUAUCUAUACAUCAUAACCAUUUUCCGUCAAAUUCUAAACGCCCGAGCUUUUAGUACGGAGGAGGUGGGUAUUGUCCUGGGUAUGGACCUGGAAACAAGAAGAAACAAGAUCAACCACCAUUCAAAAUAGUUAGUGAACAGCAAGCGCUAUCAAUUGAAGCACAUACAUGAAAAAGAAAGGACAAUUAUUGUACCUUGUGAGUAAUACGAAGGUUGAGGAGGGUAUGGAGGAGGAGGGUAAGUUGAGGAUGGUGGAGGAGGAGGGUAAGCUGAAGGUACCGGAGGGUAAGCCGAGGUUGACGGAGGAGGAGGAUACGCAGAUGGCUGAGGAGGAUAGGCUGAAGCUGGUGGGUAUCCUGAUGGCUGUGGGUAUUGUUGUACUUGUGGGUAUAGAGAUGGUCCAGUGUAUGGUGCUGAUGAGUACGGAGAUGCAGAAGGAGGUGCUGAUGAAUACGGAGAUGCAGAAGGGGGUGCUGAGUAUUGAGGCACUUGAGGCGCAUAUGGAGCUGAUGGAGCAGCCGCAUAAUUAUGUUUCUGCAUACAAGAAUGGAUUGUAUGUUUAGACUUUUGUUUAUAAUGUAACAUGUAAAACAAUGUUGUUUAACUGAGUCUCAGACUUUACCUUU